Molecule: long non-coding RNA, 1572 nt
Organism: Gasterosteus aculeatus aculeatus (three-spined stickleback)
Lineage: Eukaryota; Metazoa; Chordata; Actinopteri; Perciformes; Gasterosteidae
Source: Ensembl
CAAUUAUUUGCACUGCGAGUAGGAGAUCAUCCUGCUUGUAUUUGGAGCGUCUCUCUUUAAAACCAUAUGAAUUAUUUCAAACGUAUCUUAAAUGAACCAUAUGAACAUAUAAUAUAACAAAUUUCCAAGACUUUUCAAAAGCUUUUGGGAUUUCAUUUUUUUCCGUAACUUUUUAAGACUUCUUCUAGGUCUUCCAUGACCGUACAAACCCUGUUUGAUAUAGUUCCAACCACCGACCAGAAGAAAGAGGUAUAGGAGACAAAGGCACCAUAUUUGUGCUGUUUACAUUUGAAUAAUUAGGUGUGGAUAAUUUAUUGUUUUUAAAGGGAUUGUGAAUUAUGAUUAUGAUUACGUUGAUUAUGUUUGGGUUGGGGAAAUUCUGUAAGCAUUAGUGUGUGUAUGUGUUAUACCUGUAGAUGGUCUGGGCUAACAGUCACGUGGGUAUACAAGAAGACUGUGAGAAACUGAGAAUAACUGGUCGUGAUGGUGAAUGGUUCCUAGAUUAUUAAAAAAAAUUAAGCUUUGUUUGAAACCUUAUCCAUGACUUCUGAUUUCAAAGGAUAUUCUUUAAUGGGCUUUAGGAGAGUUUUCUCGUCCGAUGGUGGAAUGAAGCUACAAGGAAAGUCAAAUAGUUCUGUCAAAAGUUUAAAAAAGUAGUAAUGUUCUCCAGAUCACAUUUUUCUUUGCUGGUAGUAAGCCUAAUCAUUCCAGAAAUGUUUUUACUCAUUCAACUCAAGCACACACACUCCCCGACAUGCGCACUCCUCUGGUAUUCUCGGUCUCUCACACAAACAUGUCCCGCCCUCUCCCCUCUUGUCAGCUCUAUUGGGUUUAGAUCUUUAGCUUUAGACAGAUGCUUUCUCUCUAACAUCUAACUAUGUCAUAGGCCCGCAUGCUUGGAGCUUGUUGUUUAUAUACACAACAGGCUCAUAUGCGGUGGAUUCACACAGAUGUCCUGUGGCUAUAUGCAGUCAACACUCAUACACAGACUCACAGGAAGCAACUGAAAGUGUGCAUGUGAAGGUAACAACUUCAUAAAGAGAGUGUAUCAUCGCUUAACAGAAAAGCGGGGCGAGCCUGCUGACAUCAGACAUGUAGCAGCCUGGGUUCAGCGCACCCUCUCUACUCCAUGCGCCACCGUCGACCCUCCAGUUUAUAUUGGAUUAACCCUGGCAACUUAGCCAGGUACAUGAGAAUACACUCAAACCGUAGAUGAAAGGUAGACUGGCCAACAACAAGACAGAGGGAUGGAUGUUUAUGUAGUGUGGUGGAGUUUUUCAGACUUUGGCAGAACUUUGGCAGGAUCUCCCGUUCCCGCUGGGCCGCCGUUCCCCGACUCGGUCCCCCGACCCCGACUCGGCCAGUACCAACCCCGACUCGGCCAGUCCCCGCUCCGAGACUCUCAGCCCCGACCCCGACUCGGCCAGUCCCCGCUCCGAGACUCAUGACCCCAACGCCCCCAGUCCCCCCCUUGAGACUCAUGACCCCGACGCCCCCAGUCCCCACCCCGAGACUCAUGACCCCGACGCCCCCAGUCCCCGUUCCGAGACUCAUGACCCCUCCCUCCCAUCC